This 304-nucleotide ribosomal RNA is filed under the name uncultured bacterium. RNAcentral's name for it is "partial 16S ribosomal RNA". It matches the Rfam family "Bacterial small subunit ribosomal RNA", at positions 506 to 809 of the family's 1533-position model. The record is from RNAcentral.
CAGCAGCAGCCGCGGGAAUACAGAGGGUGCAAGCGUUAUCCGGAAUUAUUGGGCGUAAAGCGCGCGUAGGCGGUUUCUUAAGUCUGAUGUGAAAGCCCACGGCUCAACCGUGGAGGGUCAUUGGAAACUGGGAAACUUGAGUGCAGAAGAGGAAAGUGGAAUUCCAUGUGUAGCGGUGAAAUGCGCAGAGAUAUGGAGGAACACCAGUGGCGAAGGCGACUUUCUGGUCUGUAACUGACGCUGAUGUGCGAAAGCGUGGGGAUCAAACAGGAUUAGAUACCCCGGUAGUCCCUGUCUCUUAUAU